This 497-nucleotide ribosomal RNA is filed under the name uncultured bacterium. Its description in RNAcentral is "partial 16S ribosomal RNA". It matches the Rfam family "Bacterial small subunit ribosomal RNA", at positions 28 to 507 of the family's 1533-position model. The record is from RNAcentral.
GAUGAACGCUGGCGGCGUGCCUAAUACAUGCAAGUCGAGCGAACAGACGAGGAGCUUGCUCCUCUGACGUUAGCGGCGGACGGGUGAGUAACACGUGGAUAACCUACCUAUAAGACUGGGAUAACUUCGGGAAACCGGAGCUAAUACCGGAUAAUAUAUUGAACCGCAUGGUUCAAUAGUGAAAGACGGUUUUGCUGUCACUUAUAGAUGGAUCCGCGCCGCAUUAGCUAGUUGGUAAGGUAACGGCUUACCAAGGCGACGAUGCGAAGCCGACCUGAGAGGGUGAUCGGCCACACUGGAACUGAGACACGGUCCAGACUCCUACGGGAGGCAGCAGUAGGGAAUCUUCCGCAAUGGGCGAAAGCCUGACGGAGCAACGCCGCGUGAGUGAUGAAGGUCUUCGGAUCGUAAAACUCUGUUAUUAGGGAAGAACAAAUGUGUAAGUAACUAUGCACGUCUUGACGGUACCUAAUCAGAAAGCCACGGCUAACUACGUG